Molecule: long non-coding RNA, 679 nt
Organism: Zalophus californianus (California sea lion)
Lineage: Eukaryota; Metazoa; Chordata; Mammalia; Carnivora; Otariidae
Exons: 3
Source: RefSeq, a predicted model, not a curated record
UACAUAAAUUGAGGAUAACAGUGUCUGGUUCAACAACGAUGCUGUAUUAUUAUACUGUCAUAAUUCCUAACAACAAUUAGAAGAGAGCUUUCUGGGCACCAAGAUAUUGUUCUCUGACUUUGGAGAACUCUGUUCUGGAAGUCUUGAGAUUUCUACAAGUAUAUUCACUCACUGGGCUUUUUGCCUCCUUCUGAGUUGACAUAGAGCCUCAAAGUGCUCACUCAGUUCUGCCUUUCUUGAGGGGGCACUUCAUUUCUGCUAGCUUCAGUCUUCUCAGCCACAUCUCACGGAAAACUCCCCUAAAAGAACAAGAGUCAAUGAAUGUGAAAUGUAGUGUCAGUUUUACUGGACUCUGGACGCCUUUCAGCACUGUGGACUUUUUGUGAUGUGGCCUAUUCAGGAGCAGACUGCGGCUGCAUGCAGAGAUGGGGAAAAGAAGAAAAGCCUUUCCUAUUUUGUGAUUGCCAUAGUAACUCAAACAUUGCCAGUGUGUUUGCUGGUCCGGUCGGCCGCAGCCUGUGAGCUUCAUUUCCUGUGCAAUCAAGCCCUCUACUGGAGAUCAUGGCUCGGGUGACACGGGGCUACACAGAGGACAGUGUGCUUGUUAGGCCUGAAAUUAAGCAUUUCACUUUAAAAUAAUACCCAUUUGUAUCCAUUUUGUUCAACAUAACAACAGCUG